AAAUUGAAGAGUUUGAUCAUGGCUCAGAUUGAACGCUGGCGGCAGGCCUAACACAUGCAAGUCGAACGGUAACAGGAAGCAGCUUGCUGCUUCGCUGACGAGUGGCGGACGGGUGAGUAAUGUCUGGGAAACUGCCUGAUGGAGGGGGAUAACUACUGGAAACGGUAGCUAAUACCGCAUAAUGUCGCAAGACCAAAGAGGGGGACCUUCGGGCCUCUUGCCAUCGGAUGUGCCCAGAUGGGAUUAGCUUGUUGGUGGGGUAACGGCUCACCAAG
This 275-nucleotide ribosomal RNA is filed under the name Shigella sonnei. Its description in RNAcentral is "partial 16S ribosomal RNA". It matches the Rfam family "Bacterial small subunit ribosomal RNA", at positions 1 to 272 of the family's 1533-position model. Lineage: Bacteria; Pseudomonadati; Pseudomonadota; Gammaproteobacteria; Enterobacterales; Enterobacteriaceae. The record is from RNAcentral.